CCUACGGGUGACUGCAGUGAGGAAUAUUGGUCAAUGGCCGGAAGGCUGAACCAGCCAUGCCGCGUGAAGGUCAGUGCCCUAUGGGCGUUAAACUUCUUUUGUGCGGGAGCAAUAAUGGUCACGUGUGGCCAGACGAGAGUACCGUACGAAUAAGCAUCGGCUAACUCCGUGCCAGCAGCCGCGGUAAUACGGGGGAUGCAAGCGUUAUCCGGAUUUAUUGGGUUUAAAGGGUGCGUAGGCUGUGAGGUAAGUCAGCGGUGAAAUGCCCCCGCUCAACGGGGUGAAGUGCCAUUGAUACUGCCUGGCUGGAAUGCGGAUGCCGUGGGAGGAAUGUGUGGUGUAGCGGUGAAAUGCAUAGAUAUCACACAGAACACCGAUUGCGAAGGCAUCUCACGAAGCCGCGAUUGACGCUGAUGCACGAAAGCGUGGGUAUCAAACAGGAUUAGAUACCCGAGUAGUC
This 460-nucleotide ribosomal RNA is filed under the name uncultured bacterium. RNAcentral describes it as "partial 16S ribosomal RNA". It matches the Rfam family "Bacterial small subunit ribosomal RNA", at positions 338 to 795 of the family's 1533-position model. The record is from RNAcentral.